UACAUUGAUUAUUCACAUAUAUAGUUACAAACAUGUGAGUUAUGUUCAAUUCUUCCUUUUCAUUUUUAGACAUUAUUCAUGGUCUAAAAUAGAAUUGAUCUUUUGUAAUUCAUUUUCAACUUCCUCAAUUUCCAUAUCAAUUCUUUGUAAUUCAGAUUGGACUCUUUUCUUAUCCGAUAUCAGUCGAUCUCUCGUUUUUUGACAGAACCGCUUUUGAUAGCCAUCC
RNAcentral lists this long non-coding RNA (226 nucleotides) under Mytilus galloprovincialis (Mediterranean mussel). Lineage: Eukaryota; Metazoa; Mollusca; Bivalvia; Mytilida; Mytilidae. The record is from RNAcentral.